This 117-nucleotide ribosomal RNA is filed under the name Castor canadensis (American beaver). Lineage: Eukaryota; Metazoa; Chordata; Mammalia; Rodentia; Castoridae. The record is from RNAcentral.
GUCUACAGCAAUACCACCAUGAAUGCACCCGAACUCAUCUGAUUUCAGUAGCUAAGCAGGAUCAGGCCUGGUUAGUACUUGGAUGGGAGAAAACUUACAAAAACAUUGAUUUAAAAU